GGAGAGGUGGCAGAGUGGUCGAUCGCGCCGCACUCGAAAUGCGGUGAACCGAAAGGUUCCGGGGGUUCGAAUCCCCCCUCUCCG
This 84-nucleotide transfer RNA is filed under the name Verrucomicrobia bacterium IMCC26134. It matches the Rfam family "tRNA". Rfam says of the family: Transfer RNA (tRNA) molecules are approximately 80 nucleotides in length. Their secondary structure includes four short double-helical elements and three loops (D, anti-codon, and T loops). Lineage: Bacteria; Pseudomonadati; Verrucomicrobiota. The record is from Rfam by way of RNAcentral.